CAGUCGCCGCGGUAAUACGAAGGGUGCAAGCGUUAAUCGGAAUUACUGGGCGUAAAGCGUGCGUAGGCGGUGAGUUAAGUCUGCUGUGAAAUCCCCGGGCUCAACCUGGGAAUGGCAGUGGAUACUGGCUCGCUAGAGUGUGUCAGAGGAUGGUGGAAUUCUCGGUGUAGCGGUGAAAUGCGUAGAGAUCGGGAGGAACAUCAGUGGCGAAGGCGGCCAUCUGGGACAACACUGACGCUGAGGCACGAAAGCGUGGGGAGCAAACAGGAUUAGAUACCCCGGUAGUCCCUGUCUCUUAUAC
RNAcentral lists this ribosomal RNA (301 nucleotides) under uncultured bacterium. Its description in RNAcentral is "partial 16S ribosomal RNA". It matches the Rfam family "Bacterial small subunit ribosomal RNA", at positions 509 to 807 of the family's 1533-position model. The record is from RNAcentral.